RNAcentral lists this long non-coding RNA (450 nucleotides) under Cricetulus griseus (Chinese hamster). RNAcentral's name for it is "lncRNA (ENSCGRG00015031338.1)". Lineage: Eukaryota; Metazoa; Chordata; Mammalia; Rodentia; Cricetidae. The record is from RNAcentral.
UAUCACGGAAAAGCAAAUAGAAUCGCUGGAAGUGUGGAGCUGUGCUAAGGCCGAAGAUGCUGCUAUAAAAACGAUGGCUGUCGAAGGUGGACAUUUUCUAUUCACUGCAUGAGAUGAAUUGUCCUCUGCGGCUGAACUGCUCUUUAGGAUAAUGAGGUCUGUCACCAAAGGAACAACCCAGAGAUCUCCAUGGGAGGAAUAAGGAAUUGAGCAUCAGUCUCUCUGGAUCCUGAUACAAAUCCUGAUGGCACUGCUUGCUGGCUCCGGGGGCUGAGGAAAGUGCCUUUGUCCACCUCUUCUCCAUCCUGUUCUAAGUUUCAGUUCUCAUCCAAACCAUAAAUUCUUCUUCUUGAGGACAUUUCUCCAAGAAACACAUGCACAGACAUACCUGCAUGCACACACAAACAUGAUAUAUAUGUAAUAUGUAAUAUGUGGCAUAUUACUUUAAUU